Molecule: ribosomal RNA, 508 nt
Filed under: uncultured bacterium
Lineage: Bacteria
Description: bacterial SSU rRNA
Rfam family: Bacterial small subunit ribosomal RNA
Source: RNAcentral
GACGAACGCUGGCGGCGUGCCUAAUACAUGCAAGUCGAACGCACUCUCGUUUAGAUUGAAGGAGCUUGCUCCUGAUUGAUAAACAUUUGAGUGAGUGGCGGACGGGUGAGUAACACGUGGGUAACCUGCCCUAAAGUGGGGGAUAACAUUUGGAAACAGAUGCUAAUACCGCAUAAAACCUAACACCGCAUGGUGUAGGGUUGAAAGAUGGUUUCGGCUAUCACUUUAGGAUGGACCCGCGGUGCAUUAGUUAGUUGGUGAGGUAAAGGCUCACCAAGACCGUGAUGCAUAGCCGACCUGAGAGGGUAAUCGGCCACACUGGGACUGAGACACGGCCCAGACUCCUACGGGAGGCAGCAGUAGGGAAUCUUCCACAAUGGACGAAAGUCUGAUGGAGCAACGCCGCGUGAGUGAAGAAGGUUUUCGAUCGUAAAACUCUGUUGUUGGAGAAGAAUGUAUCUGAUAGUAACUGAUCAGGUAGUGACGGUAUCCAACCAGAAAGCCACGG